UGACACAUUGCAUGACUUUGCAGUUAAAAUUUAAAAAAAAAGCUUCACUAUUAAAUAUUUUUGUUGUUUAUCUAUUGCAGUUUUUAAUCUCAAUAUUUGAAGAAUUAAGAAUCACACUAACUAAUUACAAAAGAAAGAAAAAAUCUUCCAGAAAAACAUAACCAAUUAGGAAAAGAAGCACUAAGGAGAAUCUGACCACAAGUCACAAAAACCUUGAGUCCAGACUCAUUGAAGGUUAAUGAAUAAAACAGAAAAACAGCUGUAACGAUUAGACAAUUUCUAUCAGGUGUGGUGAUGACUGGUGAUGUUACACAACUCCCAAAACCAAAUAAAUCUGUAAAGAAAAGGAAGAUCCGGAUCACGUUAUCUCCAGACUUCGAUUGGGACUUACUUUCCUGAAGCAACAGCUUUUCAAGAUAGCAAAACAUAUUCAAACCAUGCAUGCAGAUAAGAACCUAGUCUUCUUUUUGAAUCCUGCAGACAACACGGCAUGAAGAAGCAGCAAAGCCGCCUUGAUCCAACUGCUAGAGCUGCGUGUGCAAGUACAAGACUGACGGUGGUCGCAAUCUGUAAGUGCAAAUGCAUAAAUAUGAGCAUGAACACAACCAUCCCCCAUGCAUGUGUCCAUGCAGCUUCGUGUCAAAGGAAAACCAUCCCCGAAAGCCUCAGCCGCAUCUCCAGUGAUUUGACCACUGACCUCCUCCUAACAUCGGAAGAAGAGGGAGCCGACUUUUCAAGGACGAUGAACUUUUGUGCCGAUUACACGCUUCUGCGUCAAAUCUGUGGCAUUGGAUUUGCAUGACAUUAACAUAUAUCUUUAGUGCAGCAGAGAGCCGAACAUGUGGGAACUACACCUGUUAGGAAAACACAAACAUGCCACUCCCACAAAGCUACACUGUGGAGGUUCAGGUGCAGUGGUCUGUUUAUUAAUCUUGGGUUGUAUUUAUGAUCAUUUAUUAUAUGAAAUGAUCAUUCAGCAAGCUAUAUUUAUGUAUUAGGGUGGUCCUUCCAGAGGGCUGAAUUUUCAAAUUAAUAUUUUUUCAGCUCCAACCCCUGAACUUUGUUGGAAUAGCUGAAAAAACUCUCCUUGUAAAUUUUUUUCCAAUUCCAACAACAUUUACCCCUCCCUCAACGAGACUGGUAUGGUGCCUCAGCACAAGACUAAGGAGAACUAAGCUGGCUGCCAACAGAUGGGCUUAGCAGUCUCAAAGUGAACACUAACAAAUAUUUGGGACAGAGACUGUAAAUUGGAUAUGGAAUAUGAAUAUCGCCUUUUUAAGAAUUUUUUUUCACAUUUAGAACAAACAGGAAUACAAGCAUACUCAGUUAUAUAAUGGAUGUUUUGAAUGUUUACAAUUUUCAUCAUCAUUGAUAUUUGUUCUUUUUCAUACAUGUAGAAUUGUAGAUUAAAUAGUUUGAGAUCAGUUCUGAUGAUAAAACUUUCAUUGUUAUUCUAAUUUUAAUUGUUAUGUUCUUUUUAUUACUUGACAAUGCGCACCCAAAGGGGCCCAAGGGGAAAACUUCAAGGUCACUGAGGGAGGG
This is a non-coding RNA of Oryzias latipes (Japanese medaka), 1542 nucleotides long. The record is from RefSeq and is a predicted model, not a curated record. NCBI's taxonomy places the organism in Eukaryota, Metazoa, Chordata, Actinopteri, Beloniformes, Adrianichthyidae.